Molecule: transfer RNA, 70 nt
Filed under: Ptychohyla hypomykter (Copan stream frog)
Lineage: Eukaryota; Metazoa; Chordata; Amphibia; Anura; Hylidae
Description: tRNA-Val
Rfam family: tRNA
About the family: Transfer RNA (tRNA) molecules are approximately 80 nucleotides in length. Their secondary structure includes four short double-helical elements and three loops (D, anti-codon, and T loops).
Source: RNAcentral
CAAAAUGUAGCUUAAUUUAAAGCACCUCGCUUACACCGAGCAAACAUCUGUUAGACCCAGAUCAUUUUGA